RNAcentral lists this long non-coding RNA (262 nucleotides) under Papio anubis (olive baboon). Its description in RNAcentral is "lncRNA (ENSPANG00000037572.1)". Lineage: Eukaryota; Metazoa; Chordata; Mammalia; Primates; Cercopithecidae. The record is from RNAcentral.
UGACCUCGUGAUCCGCCCGUCUCGGCCUCCCAAAGUGCUGGGAUUACAGGCUUGAGCCACCGCACCCGUCUUUUUUUUUUCUUUUUUUCUUUUUUGAGAUGGAGUCUCACUCUGUCACCCAGGCUGGAGUGCAGUGGCAUGAUCUUGGCUCACUGCAAGCUCCAUCUCCCAGGUUCAUGCCAUUCUCCUGCAUCAGCCUCCUCCUGAGUAGCUGGGACUACAGGCUCGCCACCACGCCCCGCUAAUUUUUUUGUAGUUUUAG